AUUGAACGCUGGCGGCAGGCUUAACACAUGCAAGUCGAGCGGGGUGAUGGUGCUUGCACUAUCACUUAGCGGCGGACGGAUGAGUAAUGCUUAGGAAUCUGCCUAUUAGUGGGGGACAACAUCUCGAAAGGGAUGCUAAUACCGCAUACGUCCUACGGGAGAAAGCAGGGGAUCACUUGUGACCUUGCGCUAAUAGAUGAGCCUAAGUCGGAUUAGCUAGUUAGUGGGGUAAAGGCCUACCAAGGCGACGAUCUGUAGCGGGUCUGAGAGGAUGAUCCGCCACAUUGGGACUGAGACACGGCCCAGACUCCUACGGGAGGCAGCAGUGGGGAAUAUUGGACAAUGGGGGGAACCCUGAUCCAGCCAUGCCGCGUGUGUGAAGAAGGCCUUAUGGUUGUAAAGCACUUUAAGCGAGGAGGAGGCUCUUUUGGUUAAUACCCAAGAUGAGUGGACGUUACUCGCAGAAUAAGCACCGGCUAACUCUGUGCCAGCCGCCGCGGUAA
Molecule: ribosomal RNA, 503 nt
Filed under: uncultured bacterium
Lineage: Bacteria
Description: partial 16S ribosomal RNA
Rfam family: Bacterial small subunit ribosomal RNA
Source: RNAcentral